CGGUCUGGGCGAGAGCUCUUUGGACCACCGUAGGCGGGAAGAAUUUCC
Small RNA from Lachnospiraceae bacterium A2, 48 nucleotides. It matches the Rfam family "DUF3800-XI RNA". From Rfam's summary of the family: Actinobacteria, Firmicutes, Proteobacteria, Spirochaetes (1 example). The record is from Rfam. NCBI's taxonomy places the organism in Bacteria, Bacillati, Bacillota, Clostridia, Lachnospirales, Lachnospiraceae.